Molecule: long non-coding RNA, 418 nt
Filed under: Gossypium barbadense (sea-island cotton)
Lineage: Eukaryota; Viridiplantae; Streptophyta; Magnoliopsida; Malvales; Malvaceae
Description: long non-coding RNA (GBAR_LNC019786)
Source: RNAcentral
AAAGAGCUUGGGUUGGCCUUUUAAUGAACCAUCCCCCCUAGGCUGGCGCUUCUACUCUACCACUACAUAGUCAUGCUGGACCUUACAGAAACGAAACUCGAUCAACAACAACAAAGCCGUGGAACCAACCAUCAUUAUUUGCCAAAUCGCAUGUCGAGUGGGGAUUCCUUUCAGGAUUAUGUAGCCAAUUCUGAUCUGCAACCUUGGUUGGGUUUAUUACUAUUGUAUAAGGGAAGAGGGUGGGUGCUAUUCGCUAACUUACUUCCCGCUCUUUUCUAUACAAUAAUUUCCCACACAUUUGGCCUUCUUUUUCUCGCUCAAACAAUAAUAACUGCUCAUCAUUAUUACUCGAGAAAGUCAUUAUCACGUAAAUUGUCACUCCAGCCUCGUCUAGUCCAUAGUAGCGUUCAUUCUAAUA